UAGGUGAUUUAUAAGAUCAUUUUAAAGGCUGCUUGUGUAAAGAUUUGACAUUGGAACUGAGAGUUUGAAGAUAUCUUCAGCAACCUUAAAAUUGAGGAGACAAAAAUAUACCACUAUUUUUCACAGGACUUAAAGGCAAGCAAGAAAGCGAGGGGGCUUGAAAUGAAAUGCUCCGACUGGAAAUGUUGGAUGUGAAAGCAAGAUUCAAUUUUAUAACAGAAUGCCUUCUACCCAAGGAUGGAUCCCUCCUUUAGAGAUGCUUAAAGAAAGUAUUAUCCCUGGGGAAGAAUGGAGAUAUGUGCAAGAAGACUGUAUAUGUAGAAAGUUCUCAGUACCCUUUUCGGUAUCUGGAGGAUGCAUGAGGUAUCUCGCGCUUACUUUAUUUCAUGCAGUAAACACAAUUUUAUGGACGGGAUUUUCUUCCAGUCUAGUCCAAGUCCUCUGA
This 445-nucleotide long non-coding RNA is filed under the name Anser brachyrhynchus (Pink-footed goose). RNAcentral's name for it is "lncRNA (ENSABRG00000020274.1)". The record is from RNAcentral. Lineage: Eukaryota; Metazoa; Chordata; Aves; Anseriformes; Anatidae.